AUCCAGCUGAAGAGUCCCAAAUAGGACGAAACAAGCGUCCUGGAU
RNAcentral lists this non-coding RNA (45 nucleotides) under Schistosoma curassoni. The record is from RNAcentral. Lineage: Eukaryota; Metazoa; Platyhelminthes; Trematoda; Strigeidida; Schistosomatidae.